UACGUAGGCAGCAAGCGUUGUUCGGAGUUACUGGGCGUAAAGAGUGCGUAGGCGGUUUUCUAAGUUCGGUGUGAAAUCUCCCGGCUUAACUGGGAGGGUGCGCCGAAGACUGGGGAGCUGGAGUGUGGGAAAGGCAGGCGGAAUUCCUGGUGUAGCGGUGAAAUGCGUAGAUAUCAGGAGGAACACCGGCGGUGUAGACGGCUUGCUAGACCAUAACUGACGCUGAGGCACGAAAGCGUGGGUAGCAAAC
Molecule: ribosomal RNA, 250 nt
Filed under: uncultured bacterium
Lineage: Bacteria
Description: partial 16S ribosomal RNA
Rfam family: Bacterial small subunit ribosomal RNA
Source: RNAcentral